This 1346-nucleotide ribosomal RNA is filed under the name uncultured bacterium. RNAcentral describes it as "partial 16S ribosomal RNA". It matches the Rfam family "Bacterial small subunit ribosomal RNA", at positions 28 to 1381 of the family's 1533-position model. The record is from RNAcentral.
GACGAACGCUGGUGGCGUGCUUAACACAUGCAAGUCGAACGGAAAGGCCCUGCUUUUGUGGGGUGCUCGAGUGGCGAACGGGUGGGUAACACGUGAGUAACCUGCCCUUGACUUUGGGAUAACUUCAGGAAACUGGGGCUAAUACCGGAUAGGAGCUCCUGCUGCAUGGUGGGGGUUGGAAAGUUUCGGCGGUUGGGGAUGGACUCGCGGCUUAUCAGCUUGUUGGUGGGGUAGUGGCUUACCAAGGCUUUGACGGGUAGCCGGCCUGAGAGGGUGACCGGCCACAUUGGGACUGAGAUACGGCCCAGACUCCUACGGGAGGCAGCAGUGGGGAAUAUUGCACAAUGGGCGGAAGCCUGAUGCAGCAACGCCGCGUGCGGGAUGACGGCCUUCGGGUUGUAAACCGCUUUCGCCUGUGACGAAGCGUGAGUGACGGUGAUGGGUAAAGAAGCACCGGCUAACUACGUGCCAGCAGCCGCGGUGAUACGUAGGGUGCGAGCGUUGUCCGGAUUUAUUGGGCGUAAAGGGCUCGUAGGUGGUUGAUCGCGUCGGAAGUGUAAUCUUGGGGCUUAACCCUGAGCGUGCUUUCGAUACGGGUUGACUUGAGGAAGGUAGGGGAGAAUGGAAUUCCUGGUGGAGCGGUGGAAUGCGCAGAUAUCAGGAGGAACACCAGUGGCGAAGGCGGUUCUCUGGGCCUUUCCUGACGCUGAGGAGCGAAAGCGUGGGGAGCGAACAGGCUUAGAUACCCUGGUAGUCCACGCUGUAAACGGUGGGUACUAGGUGUGGGGUCCAUUCCACGGGUUCCGUGCCGUAGCUAACGCUUUAAGUACCCCGCCUGGGGAGUACGGCCGCAAGGCUAAAACUCAAAGGAAUUGACGGGGCCCCGCACAAGCGGCGGAGCAUGCGGAUUAAUUCGAUGCAACGCGUAGAACCUUACCUGGGUUUGACAUGGAUCGGGAGUGCUCAGAGAUGGGUGUGCCUCUUUUGGGGUCGGUUCACAGGUGGUGCAUGGCUGUCGUCAGCUCGUGUCGUGAGAUGUUGGGUUAAGUCCCGCAACGAGCGCAACCCUUGUUCACUGUUGCCAGCACGUUAUGGUGGGGACUCAGUGGAGACCGCCGGGGUCAACUCGGAGGAAGGUGGGGAUGACGUCAAGUCAUCAUGCCCCUUAUGUCCAGGGCUUCACGCAUGCUACAAUGGCUGGUACAGAGAGUGGCGAGCCUGUGAGGGUGAGCGAAUCUCGAAAAGCCGGUCUCAGUUCGGAUUGGGGUCUGCAACUCGACCUCAUGAAGUCGGAGUCGCUAGUAAUCGCAGAUCAGCAACGCUGCGGUGAAUACGUUCCCGGGGCU